CAGUCGUACCUUCGGGUAAUCAGCCUUUCGGGUGCGAUUCUGUGGGGUUUGAGGAGCUUAACACCUUCAUGCUUUUGCAUAUUCGUGCUCUUGGGUGUACUUGCCCGUGUGGUUGGUUAACAUCAAUUUGGUGGUCAUAAAAUGACUGGAGGAAUGUAGCUUCGAUCUUGUAUUGAAGUGUUACAGACUCCGGUAGAUGUGAUGACUGAGUAUU
Molecule: ribosomal RNA, 214 nt
Filed under: Rhizophagus irregularis
Lineage: Eukaryota; Fungi; Glomeromycota; Glomeromycetes; Glomerales; Glomeraceae
Source: RNAcentral